Molecule: ribosomal RNA, 890 nt
Filed under: uncultured Staphylococcus sp.
Lineage: Bacteria; Bacillati; Bacillota; Bacilli; Caryophanales; Staphylococcaceae
Description: bacterial SSU rRNA
Rfam family: Bacterial small subunit ribosomal RNA
Source: RNAcentral
AGAUAAGGAGCUUGCUCCUUUGACGUUAGCGGCGGACGGGUGAGUAACACGUGGGUAACCUACCUAUAAGACUGGAAUAACUCCGGGAAACCGGGGCUAAUGCCGGAUAACAUUUAGAACCGCAUGGUUCUAAAGUGAAAGAUGGUUUUGCUAUCACUUAUAGAUGGACCCGCGCCGUAUUAGCUAGUUGGUAAGGUAAUGGCUUACCAAGGCAACGAUACGUAGCCGACAUGAGAGGGUGAUCGGCCACACUGGAACUGAGACACGGUCCAGACUCCUACGGGAGGCAGCAGUAGGGAAUCUUCCGCAAUGGGCGAAAGCCUGACGGAACAACGCCGCGUGAGUGAUGAAGGGUUUCGGCUCGUAAAACUCUGUUAUUAGGGAGGAACAAACGUGUAAGUAACUGUGCACGUCUUGACGGUACCUAAUCAGAAAGCCACUGCUAACUACGUGCCAGCAGCCGCGGUAAUACGUAGGUGGCAAGCGUUAUCCGGAAUUAUUGGGCGUAAAGCGCGCGUAGGCGGUUUCUUAAGUCUGAUGUGAAAGCCCACGGCUCAACCGUGGAGGGUCAUUGGAAACUGGGAGACUUGAGUGCAGAAGAGGAAAGUGGAAUUCCAUGUGUAGCGGUGAAAUGCGCAGAGAUAUGGAGGAACACCAGUGGCGCAGGCGACUUUCUGGUCUGUAACAGACGCUGAUGUGCGAAAGCGUGGGGAUCAAACAGGAUUAGAUACCCUGGUAGUCCACGCCGUAAACGAUGAGUGCUAAGUGUUAGGGGGUUUCCGCCCCUUAGUGCUGCAGCUAACGCAUUAAGCACUCCGCCUGGGGAGUACGACCGCAAGGUUGAAACUCAAAGGAAUUGACGGGGACCCGCACAAGCGGUGGAGCAUGUG